Long non-coding RNA from Myotis brandtii (Brandt's bat), 102 nucleotides. RefSeq lists it as uncharacterized. The record is from RefSeq and is a predicted model, not a curated record. NCBI's taxonomy places the organism in Eukaryota, Metazoa, Chordata, Mammalia, Chiroptera, Vespertilionidae. The transcript is spliced from 3 exons.
CAUACAUAUAUAUAUAUAUACAUAUAUAUAUAAAAGCCUAAGCGACCUUUAUUAUCAGAUGACCAGAUGACAGGAUGACCGGCCGGUAGCUAUGAUGUGCAC